Molecule: unclassified non-coding RNA, 148 nt
Organism: Pongo abelii (Sumatran orangutan)
Lineage: Eukaryota; Metazoa; Chordata; Mammalia; Primates; Hominidae
Rfam family: Metazoan signal recognition particle RNA
About the family: The signal recognition particle (SRP) is a universally conserved ribonucleoprotein. It is involved in the co-translational targeting of proteins to membranes. The eukaryotic SRP consists of a 300-nucleotide 7S RNA and six proteins: SRPs 72, 68, 54, 19, 14, and 9.
Source: Ensembl
GCUGGGUGUGGUGGUGCAUGCCUUUAGUCCCAACUACCAGGGAGGCCGAGGCAGGGGGAUCACUUAAGCCCAGGAAGUCGAGGCUGCAGUGAGGCACGAUCAUGCCACUGUACUCCAGCCUGGGCAACAGAGUGAGACCCUGUCUCAA